ACGAACGCUGGCGGCGUGCUUCACACAUGCCAGUCGAACGGUGAAGCGCCUUCCUUUUUGGUGGGUGUGGAUGAGUGGCGAACGGGUGAGUAACACGUGAGUAACCUGCCCCCUUCUUCUGGAUAACCGCAUGAAAGUGUGGCUAAUACGGGAUAUUCUGGGUCUGUCGCAUGAUGGGUCUGGGAAAGAUAUUGUUUCGGUGGGGGAUGGGCUCGCGGCCUAUCAGCUUGUUGGUGGGGUGAUGGCCUACCAAGGCGGUGACGGGUAGCCGGCCUGAGAGGGUGGACGGUCACACUGGGACUGAGACACGGCCCAGACUCCUACGGGAGGCAGCAGUGGGGAAUAUUGCACAAUGGGCGCAAGCCUGAUGCAGCGACGCCGCGUGAGGGAUGGAGGCCUGCGGGUUGUGAACCUCUUUCGCCAGUGAAGCAGGCCUGCCUCGUUUGUGGGUGGGUUGACGGUAGCUGGAUAAGAAGCGCCGGCUAACUACGUG
This 493-nucleotide ribosomal RNA is filed under the name uncultured bacterium. RNAcentral describes it as "partial 16S ribosomal RNA". It matches the Rfam family "Bacterial small subunit ribosomal RNA", at positions 29 to 507 of the family's 1533-position model. The record is from RNAcentral.